Molecule: ribosomal RNA, 468 nt
Filed under: uncultured bacterium
Lineage: Bacteria
Description: partial 16S ribosomal RNA
Rfam family: Bacterial small subunit ribosomal RNA
Source: RNAcentral
GACGAACGCUGGCGGCGUGCUUAACACAUGCAAGUCGAACGGAAAGGCCCUGCGUUUGUGGGGUGCUCGAGUGGCGAACGGGUGAGUAACACGUGAGUAACCUGCCCUUGACUUUGGGAUAACUUCAGGAAACUGGGGCUAAUACCGGAUAGGAGCUCCUGCUGCAUGGUGGGGGUUGGAAAGUUUCGGCGGUUGGGGAUGGACUCGCGGCUUAUCAGCUUGUUGGUGGGGUAGUGGCUUACCAAGGCUUUGACGGGUAGCCGGCCUGAGAGGGUGACCGGCCACAUUGGGACUGAGAUACGGCCCAGACUCCUACGGGAGGCAGCAGUGGGGAAUAUUGCACAAUGGGCGGAAGCCUGAUGCAGCAACGCCGCGUGCGGGAUGACGGCCUUCGGGUUGUAAACCGCUUUCGCCUGUGACGAAGCGUGAGUGGCGGUAAUGGGUAAAGAAGCACCGGCUAACUACGUG